This 488-nucleotide ribosomal RNA is filed under the name uncultured bacterium. RNAcentral describes it as "bacterial SSU rRNA". It matches the Rfam family "Bacterial small subunit ribosomal RNA", at positions 28 to 508 of the family's 1533-position model. The record is from RNAcentral.
GAUGAACGCUGGCGGCGUGGAUAAGGCAUGCAAGUCGAACGGUCCUUCGCUGAUGAUUCAAUGAGAGAGUAGCAAUACGAUCAAUUUGUUGAUUCGGCAUGGGAUAGUGGCGAACGAGGUAGUAACACGUAGGAACUUCCCCCUAAGUCGCGAAUAAUCCAUCGAAAGGUGGACUAAUACGCGAUAUGUCUCUGGAUGAAAGAUUUAUCGCUUAGGGAAAGGCCUGCGGAGUAUCAGCUAGUUGGUAGGGUAAUGGCCUACCAAGGCUAUGACGCUUAGGGGAGCUGAGAGGCUGACCCCCACCGAUGGGACUGAGACACGGCCCAUACACCUACGGGUGGCUGCAGUCGAGAAUCUUCCACAAUGGACGAAAGUCUGAUGGAGCGACGCCGCGUGAUUGAUGAAGACCCUCUGGGUCGUAAAAAUCUUUUAUGAGGGAAGAAGUUUAUUGACGGUACCUCAUGAAUAAGGGGUUGCUAAACUCGUGC